MicroRNA precursor from Ciona intestinalis (vase tunicate), 83 nucleotides. The record is from Ensembl. NCBI's taxonomy places the organism in Eukaryota, Metazoa, Chordata, Ascidiacea, Phlebobranchia, Cionidae.
ACGUUGGUCGCACGAUCAAAGCGUCAUUAUUGUUCUGGCGUCAUUAAUUGCGUCAUAAAAUGCCUUGUUCGUUCGGCUCGCGU